This is a long non-coding RNA of Beta vulgaris subsp. vulgaris (sugar beet), 4146 nucleotides long. RefSeq lists it as uncharacterized. The transcript is spliced from 2 exons. NCBI's taxonomy places the organism in Eukaryota, Viridiplantae, Streptophyta, Magnoliopsida, Caryophyllales, Amaranthaceae. The record is from RefSeq and is a predicted model, not a curated record.
CUCACAGCUCACAAGUCCCACAACUUUUCAAUACAGCCACGUGCCUCACCUUCAUCUUCCUUCACAAGUUCCCACAAUGCCAUUAAUACUCCACCAUAUAUUUCCAUACUCCAUACAAGAUUUCCAAAAUCCAUAUCUUUAUGUUGAUAUUCAAUUUUCGAUCAACUACACUCUUCCUUUUUCUUUUUUUUUUUUUUUUUUUGCAAAACAUAAAUUAUUGCAUUUCUCAAUUUCAUCAAUAUAUUUAGUUUAGGAAAAAUUCACAAGAGAGAGCUCAACUAUUACCCAUUUUCUUUUAUACGUCCCAACUAUGAAUUAUUGCCUACAGGUCCCAAAUUUAUUAUCUUGUGGUUUUGAUAGGUCCUGAGUUACUUAUAACCGGUUUAGAAGGUAAGAUUUUUAAAUGUUUACCAUCUCUUUCAACAAGUAACAAAGACCUAUAAAAUGGGGCCUACAUUUAAAAAUCUUACCUUUUAAACCAUUUAAAGUAAUUCAGGACUUAUAAAAAUGACAAGAUGGUAAACUUGGGACCUGCGGGGAAUAAUUCAUAGUUGGGACCUAUAAAAGAAAAUGAAUAAUAGUUGGGCCCCCUCUUGUGAAUUUUUCCUUUAGUUUAUGGGUUUGCUUUGUAGUUUGUACUGAAUAUGGUUCAAAAAUACCGAUCUAGAUAUAAUGUAAUUUUAGGUUCUCUUCAUAAAUUCAAUGAAGUUAUUUUUUAAAAAAAUUGAGAUUUAAGUGCUCCUUCUCAAAAAUAUGCAUAGGGCCUCCAAUAUCAUAACCCGUCCCUGACGACAAGGAACAAAAACCGGAAAAAAAAAAUCGUCUAUUAGGCGAUGGCCCAUGUAUGUCUCGCUAAUUUUGUCCCUCUGAUUUAAUUGAAGAUUUAUUCUAAUCAACUUCAUAAUGAAACAUACUUUCUAAUUUACAAAACGUGAUUAACAAUAUUACAAUAACUACUCUUCGUGUCAUCGAAAUCACAUUCGUAUCUCUUUUUAGCGUACUAUGCCAAUUCAGAUUCCACUAUAAAUUAAAGUUGCAUGUUAUAUGCUCCCAAGAAUCAAAUUCCUGGUUUCACUAACUUUGAUAAAAAAAAAGUAGAUAGCCUUACCAUUAUCAACAGCGUCGAAUAAGUUGGCUCUGGUCUAUAUAAAGGUGCAUAAGCAUGCCAUUAUUUGCAUGUGAGACAAUUGGAGUACAUACAAGCUAAGUAUGUCUUUGAUAUUUAGAGAGUGAUUGAUUACAAUAAAUUUCUUUUGUAGAAUUAGUUUUCCCAUGUUUUUGGUUUGAAUUACAUAAGGUUGGAAUACAUUUUUACUAAUAAUGGAAGAUAGUUUCUUUAAGAAUGGAAAUAUUUUCAUUCUUAAAUUAAGAAAUGCCACAUUUUUCUUUCUUACAUCUUUGUUUUUAAUCUCCUAUCGUCCGCUCUACCCACUUUCAUUUUCCAUUUUCUCUCUAACUUUUCUUAUAAGGAAUCAAACAAAGAAAAAUUUACAUACAAUUGUAUUGUUCAUUAAAAAAUAUUUUCCGCUCAACCAAACACUAGAAUCCAAAAGAGAAAUGAUAUGGCCUACAUCGGCUACAUGCAAGAAUGUGCAGUGAUCAAGGUGAAAUUUCGUGACAAUGUUCAAGCUAAACUGAAUGUUGAGGUGAUGCAGACGGACAAGAUCCUGCUGAGAAUUAUGGAAACAGUUAUAGGCCAGGCAAAAACGUGACAAAUUUUAUAUGCUCUAUAUUAUCUAUGGGUCAAAAAAACUUGUUACAAAAGUAUUCGUCGUUAAAACACAUGUGAAAGAUAGACAAUACUUCUUUCAUACUUCCUUCGUUUUAUGUGAGUUCGAACUUUUUGAUUUUUCAAAAUUACUAAUUCACAUAUUGAACAUUAAUUUCUUAAUUAUAUUAGUAAAAAUAAAGUUUUAACAAACAAUGUUUUCAAAUUAUAUAUUGAGAUAAAUCUAUUAAUAUCUAACAUGAUAAUAUAUAGUAGUAUUUAUAUGAUAUGAGUAAAUAUAGUUCUCAACAAAGGUUGGAAAGAUUGAUUUCAAAUGACGAAUAAUCGAAUAUUGCAACCGAUAAAAAAUAAAAUUAUAAAGACAUGUUUUGAUCUAAAUCCUAAAGCGGAAAUUUAUUAAAUUUUUAAAAACGUAAGUUUAAAAUAACAUUGAAUGAAAAUGGAGGAGUUGAUGAAUUGAUUUAGAAUAAUUGUCAUGAAUGUGAAGGAUUUAGCUAACCGGGUGUACAUUCUAUGUAAAAGUAGACAAUUUUUGGAUUAAUUGUUUGUCUAACUUCUUUUUUUUCUCUCUUCUCUCUUCUCUCUUCUCUCUUCUCUUCUCUGCCUUAAUACCCUAAUUUUCAACCUAAAGGCUACCACUUUCUUUUGAACGGUAGUAUGCCCCUUGUUCACUUUUUGUUACAAAUUUUUUAUGUUUAUGUUUCUAAUAAACUUCAGUUUCUUUCUAACGGAGAGUUACUGAGUUAUAUCUAUCCAUAUAUUGGGUUUUAUCUCUCUCCAUGUGAAAGUUUGAAAACUUUAUUUUUGGAUUUUUGUAUAAUUCAAGAGGUUGAUUUGUUGAAUGAAAUUUGUGCGGAGUUGCAACAUAUAUCAAAACUUCAUUUACAAUCACUUGAAUUGAAUCAAUUUCUACUUCAAAACUACAAAAGAUAGAUAGAUAGACCCCCAUGCAGAAGGUUGCAUUAUACAUUGAUGUGAAAUACGAGGAUUUUCAGAAGUGUUAGGUCUACUCAACGAUCGUGGUUUGGUCAUAUUAGAAUUGUGUUUAUUUUAUUUUGAUAUGUAUUUGUUUAGUUUUGAGUUCUAUUGUAGAUAUCGUAUGACUUUGAAUCAAUGAAUUAAUGUUAAUUCUAAAAAUAAAAUAAAAUGUAAAAGCAUACAAGGGGAAUGAGAAUUUAUGUAUCUUUGUACAACCCAAUGAAGACAUUACUCUAUUAUUAGUAACAUUAAGAUUUAUGCGCAAUAUCUAACAAUAUGCUACUUCAGGAAGAAUUAAUGUUGGCUUAGUUAGAAGUUUUCAUUCGACCCUUUUGAUAAGGGUUCAAUUCUCACAACUUACAAAACGAGGUUCCCAAAUUUUCCCCAACCACUUGCAAAGAAUUCUCAUCUCACUUAGGGUUAGGGCUAUGUAUGUAAAUCCGGAAACAGCUUUAUGAAUAUUUUACCUUGUAAUUUUUCUAUUCCUAUUUAUUGUGCCGUGUUACCACUAAAUUGUUCUCCUUUUGUGGCUUCUUCUAUUUUUAUAGUUAUUUAAUACUUCUAAUACGUUAGAAUCAAGGUGAGAUGUUAAAGUAUGCUUUAUUUAUUAGCACAAAACUUUGACUAACUAUGUUCAGUUCACCUUAUUUUUGCUUAUUUCAGAUCUAAUCAGAUCAGAAAAAAUAAGUUCAGAUCAGAAAAAAUAAGUUCAGAUCAGAUCAGAUCAGACCAGAUCAGAUCAGAUCAGAUCAGUUCAGAUCAUAUCAUGCUUAUAUUUAAAAACUCAUUAUUAUUAAAUAUCUUUCACUACAUAUUAAUAAAAAUUAUAAUAAUUGAAUAUUAAUAAAGUACUCAUUGAGACGAAUCAAACAAGACCCCACAUGACUAUAUUUUUUUUAUAUAUUGAGAAAAAUCUAAAAGAUUAUCUCUAAUUGUGAAUAGUGUCAAGAUUCUAAGUGAGAAAGAUAAAAAAAUACAAAGGGAGUAUUAUUAUUUACUAGUACAUUUGUUCAAAAGAAUUAUUAUUGUUGUUGUUGUUGUACUUAUUAAUUAUUAAUAUUGGUAAUUAUUAUUAAUCUUGUUGUUACCAUUAUAAAUGUCAUUGUUAUUAUUAUAUUAAGUUAUUUUGUUGUUAUUAAAUAAUAGAAAAUUAAAAGCCACGUGUUAAGAACAUAAGAUUGAUGCAAAAAUAAGAAAUAUAUAAAAUAUGAUAUCUCAAAUUCAUGACAACGAAACUACUAAGUUCGGAUUACAUUUCAAAAUAAGCUAAGUGUGAGAUACAAAUUAUAAAUUUAGAUUCGGUAUACCUCUUCCUACCGAAUUCCAAAUCUCUCUAGCUAUUUGAAGUUGCACGAUAUUUAUUUAUUUUUUGCUCAAGUCAUAGUUGUUUGUAUAUCUUAUUCUAUUUUAUAUGGAAAAAAAAGAGUUGAGUUUGCCGA